CAGUAGCCACGGGAAUGCGAGGGGGGCAAGCGUUGUUCGGAAUUAUUGGGCGUAAAGGGCGCGUAGGCGGCUUUGCAAGUCUUGUGUGAAAUCUCUGGGCUCAACCCAGGGGCUGCACGGGAAACUGCAGGGCUUGAGUAUGGGAGAGGUGAGUGGAAUUUCCGGUGUAGCGGUGAAAUGCGUAGAUAUCGGAAGGAACACCUGUGGCGAAAGCGGCUCACUGGACCAUAACUGACGCUGAGGCGCGAAAGCUAGGGGAGCAAACAGGAUUAGAUACCCCAGUAGUCCCUGUCUCUUAUAC
This 301-nucleotide ribosomal RNA is filed under the name uncultured bacterium. Its description in RNAcentral is "partial 16S ribosomal RNA". It matches the Rfam family "Bacterial small subunit ribosomal RNA", at positions 509 to 807 of the family's 1533-position model. The record is from RNAcentral.